This 199-nucleotide long non-coding RNA is filed under the name Vigna radiata. RNAcentral's name for it is "long non-coding RNA (VRAD_LNC003585)". Lineage: Eukaryota; Viridiplantae; Streptophyta; Magnoliopsida; Fabales; Fabaceae. The record is from RNAcentral.
UGGGUUUUCAAAGUCUAACUUGUAAAGUGAGGAAUGUACCUCAUUUAUAUAUUAUAAAUUGGUCUUAUAUCUAGUCGAUAUGAAAUUUUUAACACAUUCUCUUCACGCUGAGGUAUAAACAUCUCGUGAGUGAUAGUAGAGAUUAGAUGGUCCAAUAUUGGCCCGACAACGGAUAGAAUGGAAACAUAAAUGCCCGCUU